AGAGUUUGAUCCUGGCUCAGAUUGAACGCUGGCGGCAUGCUUUACACAUGCAAGUCGAACGGGGUUAAGGGGCUUGCUCCUUAAUCUAGUGGCGAACGGGUGAGUAAUGCAUCGGAAUGUACCGGGUAGUGGGGGAUAACUCGGCGAAAGGCGGAUUAAUACCGCAUACUCCCUGAGGGGGAAAGUGGGGGACCUUAAGGCCUCGCGUUAUCCGAGCGGCCGAUGUCUGAUUAGCUAGUUGGUGAGGUAAAGGCUCACCAAGGCGACGAUCCGUAGCGGGUCUGAGAGGAUGAUCCGCCACACUGGGACUGAGACACGGCCCAGACUCCUACGGGAGGCAGCAGUGGGGAAUUUUGGACAAUGGGCGCAAGCCUGAUCCAGCCAUGCCGCGUGUCUGAAGAAGGCUUCGGGUUG
Molecule: ribosomal RNA, 414 nt
Filed under: uncultured bacterium
Lineage: Bacteria
Also listed under: 1 other name
Description: bacterial SSU rRNA
Rfam family: Bacterial small subunit ribosomal RNA
Source: RNAcentral